GAUGAACGCUGGCGGCGUGCUUAACACAUGCAAGUCGAACGGAAAGGCCCAAGCUUGCUUGGGUACUCGAGUGGCGAACGGGUGAGUAACAAGUGGGUGAUCUGCCCUGCACUUCGGGAUAAGCCUGGGAAACUGGGUCUAAUACCGGAUAGGACGAUGGUUUGGAUGCCAUUGUGGAAAGUUUAUUGGUUGUGGGAUGAGCUGGCGGCCUACCAGCUUGUUGGUGGGGUAAUGGGUAACCAAGGCGUCGACGGGUAGCCGGCCUGAGAGGGUGUACGGCGGCACUGGCACCGAGAGGAGGCAGAAGUGCGGACGGGAGGGAGAAGUGGGGAAGAUUGAACAAUGGACGCAGGCCUGAUGAAGCGGCGCCGCGUGUGGGAUGACGGCCUUCGGGUUGUAGAAUCCUUUCGCUAGGGACAGAGCGUUUUUGUGACGGUACCUGGAGAAGAAGCACCGGCUAACUACGUG
This 468-nucleotide ribosomal RNA is filed under the name uncultured bacterium. RNAcentral's name for it is "partial 16S ribosomal RNA". It matches the Rfam family "Bacterial small subunit ribosomal RNA", at positions 28 to 507 of the family's 1533-position model. The record is from RNAcentral.